AUGCAGCUGAUGAGUCCCAUCAAGGACGAAACGCGCGUCCUGGAU
This is a non-coding RNA of Schistosoma haematobium, 45 nucleotides long. Lineage: Eukaryota; Metazoa; Platyhelminthes; Trematoda; Strigeidida; Schistosomatidae. The record is from Rfam.